RNAcentral lists this unclassified non-coding RNA (130 nucleotides) under soil metagenome. RNAcentral describes it as "partial internal transcribed spacer 1". The record is from RNAcentral.
CAAAUGGGUCCAAAGACUCCUAAAACCUACCGUGCUCCCCUAUGUGGAAAACAGAAAGCCCUCCGGGGCAUCAGGAAAUCUGAGAAUUGAAAGGAACUGCGCCUACGGCGCAUGACGAUACAAAUAAUUA